CCUACGGGUGGCUGCAGUGGGGAAUAUUGCACAAUGGGCGCAAGCCUGAUGCAACCAUGCCGCGUGUGCGAAGAAGGCCUUCGGGUUGUAAAGCACUUUCAGCGGGGAGGAAGGCGGUGAGGUUAAUAACCUCAUCGAUUGACGUUACCCGCAGAAGAAGCACCGGCUAACUCCGUGCCAGCAGCCGCGGUAAUACGGAGGGUGCAAGCGUUAAUCGGAAUUACUGGGCGUAAAGCGCACGCAGGCGGUCUGUCAAGUCGGAUGUGAAAUCCCCGGGCUCAACCUGGGAACUGCAUUCGAAACUGGCAGGCUAGAGUCUUGUAGAGGGGGGUAGAAUUCCAGGUGUAGCGGUGAAAUGCGUAGAGAUCUGGAGGAAUACCGGUGGCGAAGGCGGCCCCCUGGACAAAGACUGACGCUCAGGUGCGAAAGCGUGGGGAGCAAACAGGAUUAGAUACCCUAGUAGUC
RNAcentral lists this ribosomal RNA (465 nucleotides) under uncultured Klebsiella sp. Its description in RNAcentral is "bacterial SSU rRNA". It matches the Rfam family "Bacterial small subunit ribosomal RNA", at positions 338 to 795 of the family's 1533-position model. Lineage: Bacteria; Pseudomonadati; Pseudomonadota; Gammaproteobacteria; Enterobacterales; Enterobacteriaceae. The record is from RNAcentral.